CCCCACUGCUAUCGGGAUGGGACUAAGACAUGCUAGUCGAGCGUCUCCAAGCUAUGGAAGAGACGCGGCACACAGCUCAGUAACACGUGGCUAACCUGCCCUUGGGACAAGGACAACUCCGGGAAACUGGGGCUAAUCCCUGAUAAGUGAGAACUCCUGGAAUGGAUUCUCGCUCAAAGGACGUUUAGACCAUGCUUCUAGGCGUCGCCCAAGGAGGGGGCCGCGACCGAUCAGGUUGUUGGUGAGGUAACGGCUCACCAAGCCUUUAACCGGUACGGGCCGUGAGAGCGGAAGCCCGGAGAUGGGCACUGAGACAAGGGCCCAGGCCCUACGGGGCACAGCAGUCGCGAAAACUCCGCAAUACACGAAAGUGUGACGGGGCCAUCCCGAGUGCCAUCCGCUGAGGAUGGCUUUUCCCCAGUGUAUAAAGCUGGGGGAAUAAGGAGAGGGCAAGCCUGGUGUCAGCCGCCGCGGUAAUACCAGCUCUCCGAGUGGUGGGGAUGUUUAUUGGGCCUAAAGCAUUCGUAGCCUGCUUGGCAAGUCCUCCGUUAAAUCCAACGAUUCAAUCGUUGGGCUGCGGGGGAUACUGUCCAGCUAGGGGGCGGGAGAGGCCGACGGUAUCCUCGGGGUAGGGGUGAAAUCCUAUAAUCCCGGGAGGACCACCAGUGGCGAAGGCUGUCGGCUAGAACGCGCUCGACGGUGAGGGAUGAAAGCUGGGGGAGCGAACCGGAUUAGAUACCCGGGUAGUCCCAGCUGUAAACGAUGCAGGCUAGGUGUUGGCGCGGCUACGUGCCGCUCCAGUGCCGCAGGGAAGCCGUUAAGCCUGCCGCCUGGGAAGUACGGCCGCAAGGCUGAAACUUAAAGGAAUUGGCGGGGGAGCACCACAAGGUGUGAAGCUUGCGGUUUAAUUGGAUUCAACGCCGGG
This 925-nucleotide ribosomal RNA is filed under the name uncultured archaeon. RNAcentral describes it as "bacterial SSU rRNA". It matches the Rfam family "Archaeal small subunit ribosomal RNA", at positions 21 to 922 of the family's 1478-position model. The record is from RNAcentral.